RNAcentral lists this ribosomal RNA (459 nucleotides) under uncultured bacterium. RNAcentral's name for it is "partial 16S ribosomal RNA". It matches the Rfam family "Bacterial small subunit ribosomal RNA", at positions 338 to 795 of the family's 1533-position model. The record is from RNAcentral.
CCUACGGGCGGCAGCAGUGAGGAAUAUUGGUCAAUGGUCGGGAGACUGAACCAGCCAAGCCGCGUGAGGGAUGAAGGUACAGAGUAUCGUAAACCUCUUUUGUCAGGGAACAAAGGCGGGGACGUGUCCCCGGAUGAGUGUACCUGAAGAAAAAGCAUCGGCUAACUCCGUGCCAGCAGCCGCGGUAAUGGGGGGGAUGCGAGCGUUAUCCGGAUUUAUUGGGUUUAAAGGGUGCGCAGGCGGUCUGUUAAGUCAGCGGUAAAAGCCCGGGGCUCAACCCCGGCCCGCCGUUGAAACUGGCAGUCUCGAGUUGGAGAGAAGUAUGCGGAAUGCGCGGUGUAGCGGUGAAAUGCAUAGAUAUCGCGCAGAACUCCGAUUGCGAAGGCAGCAUGCCGGCUCCACACUGACGCUGAGGCACGAAAGCGUGGGUAUCGAACAGGAUUAGAUACCCUAGUAGUC